Molecule: long non-coding RNA, 2199 nt
Organism: Nyctereutes procyonoides (raccoon dog)
Lineage: Eukaryota; Metazoa; Chordata; Mammalia; Carnivora; Canidae
Exons: 4
Source: RefSeq, a predicted model, not a curated record
CACCUCCCACCUCUUCACCUUCUCUGCGUGGAAACCGCGAGAUCGAGGAAGAGCCUUGCUCCUUGCCGCGCUAGUGACAGGUUUCUCUAACGUGCCUCCUGCGUCGUCGUUGCACCCUCACGUCGACGGGAAGGGUGCGCCACCCAGUAUUCCUGGGCUGGGAUCAAAAUGCAAGCCCCAGAAAUAUUCCUCGAGGUAUGAGGGCAAGGAUUUUCUAUGGUUAUUGGAAUGGCAUCUGAAGCCCCACUGACUGGAAUCCAGCCCUGUCUUCACCGCGUCCUUUGGUCAACAUUAUAUGGUGAUCCAGAUGGGACCCAAGGGUGGUGAACCCCAAAGGAACCAACAACCCCCAGAACCCUGUCAAGUACCCACUUCAUUGCCUUGUCUCUGCUUCCGUGAGUCAUCUUUUUUCUUUCAGUUCGUGCAUUCCCCGGAGACAAAGACUUCAAACAUCACAGUCCAGAGAUUUCAUCUAUUGGAAAAGAUAUCUCCAGAAAGACCCUCUUGAACCCUGUUGGAAAGGCCCCUAUCAGAUUUAACUUCUUAAGUCAUCUCUCCAUCCAAUGUGGAGCUUGAACUCAUAACACCGAGAUCAAGAGUCGCAUGCUCCUCCAUCUGAGCCAUCCAGGCAUCCCCCCACCAUGUGUCACACCUUAAGGAAGCACAAAACCCUGAUUAGAUCUGCACACCAACUGCAUACCUGGAAUUAAAGAUUUCCAGGAAUUGAAGCAGACAGCCAAAGGAGACAGCUUUCUCAAGAUGACUGGACCAGACCUGUAUACCAUUUCUUGCUGUUGGUUCUUAAACCUUAUUUCUCCCCUUUCUUUCAUGAUCUAAUCUAUUGCAAAAGCAGAACCUUUCUGACUAUUGGAUCUGACACCAGAAAUUUUGAUUCAUUCUUCCCUAUUUAUUAUUUGUUCCCCUGCACCCAAGGGAAAUACAAACAAGCUAACUCCUCUUUGCAAGGCUUUUUAAAAAGAGUUUUGUUUAUUUGAGAGAGAGUGUGUGACAGAAAGCAAGAGAAAGCAAGCAAGCAGAGAGAGGCAGAGGGGGAGAGAAAGAGUCUGAAGCAGACUCCAUACUGAGGGUGGGGCCUGACUUGGGGCUCAAUCCCACAACUGGAAGAUCAUGACCUGAGCUGAAACCAAGAGACUGAUGCUCAACUGACUGAGCCACUUAGGUGCCCCUGCGAGGCUUUUAGAAAAGACCCCUUUAGGUGGGAUGGUUCCUUCCAGAAGUUCUCAUCUUAUUCUAUAUAAUUAUUUUUUUAAAGAUCUUAUUUUUAAGUAAUCUGUGCACCCGAUGUGGGGUUCAAACUUAUAACUCUGAGAUCAAGGGUUAUAAACUCUACUGACAGCCAGCUAGGCAUUCCCUCUGUAUGAUCAUUUUUUAAAGUAGGCUCCCUGCCCAGCAUAAAGUCCAAUGUGGGGCUUGAAUGCAUGACCCUGAGAUCAAGAUCUGAGCUGAGAUCAAGAAUUGGACGCUUAACCAGCUGAGCCACCCAGGCUCACCUGUAUAAUCAUUUUUAAGCUUUAUAUCUGUUGCCUCUCAAACCUUUGUAGAAACGAUGUGCCCAAAUAGGAUGAUGCAAGCUUAGCACUUCAAGAUGAUCUUCAACAUUUAUCUCAGAUUGGAAGUGCCUGAUAGUUCUCCCUCCUACCCUUCCCCAUACUCAUAUGUGACCUCAGGGAUUUCCAAUCUAUGUACUUUCCCUGAUAUGGGACAUGACAACCAGGAAGAGUCCUUUCUGACACCAAGGGGACAAAUCCACUAAAUAUGAAAAACAACAACAACAACAAAAAAACAAAAACAAACCCAGCACAACCCUGACUUUUGAUUAGGAAUCCUUUUUGAAGAAAGACCUUGAUCGAAAGGGAGAAAUGUCAAAAUAAAGGAAACCUUAUUUAAGAUGGAGUCAGGAAGCCCUGAAGGGGGAGCUCUCAUGUAUUAUUACUUGCUGUAAGAAGCCUCUCACAUUUCCCAGUAAGAGCAGCUUACUUUAUGUACCCCAGACAGAGGAAGGAAGAAUUUCUUGCCCAGCAACAGCCCAGCCAGUAAGAACUCAGUGAAACAGCCCCUCCCAACUUCCUCUUUUCCCCUGUAAAUUAAGCCCCUCUCCUGUUUUCUGGGUCUGCCUUAUUUUGCUUGUCUUGAAGUAUCAUUCUUCUGCUAUUUCUGAAUAAACUCAUUUUGCUGGUA